Molecule: ribosomal RNA, 324 nt
Filed under: uncultured eukaryote
Lineage: Eukaryota
Description: partial 18S ribosomal RNA
Rfam family: Eukaryotic small subunit ribosomal RNA
Source: RNAcentral
CCCUUAGAUGUUCUGGGCCGCACGCGCGCUACACUGAUGCAUUCAACGAGUUUCUUCCUGGUCCGAGAGGAAUGGGUAACCUUUUGAAAGUGCCUCGUGAUAGGGAUAGACUAUUGCAAUUAUUGGUCUUCAACGAGGAAUUCCUAGUAGACGUAGUUCAUCAGACUGCAUCGAUUACGUCCCUGCCCUUUGUACACACCGCCCGUCGCUCCUACCGAUUGAAUGCUCAGGUGAGCCAUUCGGACUUUCAUCAUGCUGGUUUCCAGUUUUGAUGAAGGAAAGUCUUGCGAACCUUAUCAUUUAGAGGAAGGAGAAGUCGUAACA